This 584-nucleotide ribosomal RNA is filed under the name Hebeloma sp. DR09. Its description in RNAcentral is "eukaryotic LSU rRNA". The stretch from base 197 to 350 matches the Rfam family "5.8S ribosomal RNA". The record is from RNAcentral. Lineage: Eukaryota; Fungi; Basidiomycota; Agaricomycetes; Agaricales; Hymenogastraceae.
CAUGUGCACGCCCACCAUCCUCAUCUCUCCACCUGUGCACCUCUUGUAGACUUGGAUUGACUUUCCGAGGCAACUCGGUCGGGAGGAUUGCUGGCAUCAGCUGGCUUUCUUUGCAUUUCCGGGUCUACGUUUUUCAUAUACCCCAUUGUAUGUAACAGAAUGUAAUAUUGGGCCCUUGUGCCUAUAAACCUUAUACAACUUUCAGCAACGGAUCUCUUGGCUCUCGCAUCGAUGAAGAACGCAGCGAAAUGCGAUAAGUAAUGUGAAUUGCAGAAUUCAGUGAAUCAUCGAAUCUUUGAACGCACCUUGCGCUCCUUGGUAUUCCGAGGAGCAUGCCUGUUUGAGUGUCAUUAAAUUCUCAACCUUUAUCAGCUUUUGCUCAUAAUGGCUUGGAUAUGGGGGUCUAUUUUGCUGGCUUCUUUACGGAUGGUCAGCUCCCCUUAAAUGCAUUAGCCGGUGCCCCGCGUGGACUGUCUAUUGGUGUGAUAAUUAUCUACGCCGUGGACAUCUGCAAUCAUAUGGGUUUGCACUGCUUCCAACCGUCUGUUCAAUCAGACAAUACAUGACAAUUUGACCUCAAAUCA